RNAcentral lists this long non-coding RNA (2436 nucleotides) under Setaria viridis. RNAcentral describes it as "long non-coding RNA (SVIR_LNC003122)". The record is from RNAcentral. Lineage: Eukaryota; Viridiplantae; Streptophyta; Magnoliopsida; Poales; Poaceae.
UAUACACACCACCAGUUUGACAAUGUAGUUCUUGAGAUGUUUUUCAUCAUCGGUCUUGUAGUCCUUCCAGCAAGUAAGGAUCGGUAUAUGCUGACGCAGUAUGAUCCCACCCUCUAAUGCAAACUUUGUAACUUGCAAUGGUGCCUCUGGCCGUUUGAGCCCUUCUCGAACAUGGAUUGGAAGCUUGGUGUGUAACCCUAUGCUUAUCCUGUCUAGAUCUCUGCCCAACCUUCUUGAAUAUAGUGGCACUUGUGCUCUUCUGGAAAGGCGUGCAUCACCUAACAAUUUUGUUUAGGUCAUGCAGGUGGUGUGUGUUAAUAAUGAUUUGGUUGGUAAUGAAGACAUUCCAAUUUUUUGGCGUUGGGAAAAAGAGAUCAAAUGACUUGCCUUCGCCAAUCGUCAUGUUGAUGAUGUCCUUACUGUGGGUGGCUGUUGCUUGGCCUUUGGUUGGCAAGUCUUGUGAAUCAGGAGUCGUCCCAUUCCAAACUCCUACCUAAGCUAAAGCUAAUGCCUUUGCCUUGGUCCUAGUCACUCUAGGAGGCAUACUAUCAGAGGCAUCAGGUGCCCAAAUUCUCUUGGACAACCCUCUUCCCCCACUGACAGGUAUGCUAUCACUGACCUGAUUAGACAAAUUGCAUAAACAAAAUAAUGAGAAGCAAUCCUGCAUAACUGAUACAAGAAAUUUGGUAUGCAACAACAGAUACCUCGUGUUGCAUGUCUCUUGGUCAGAUUCAGGUUGUUCCUAAUAUGGGUCAUACUCUGGAUCUAGAUCUUCACUUCUUGUUUCAUUGCUAUCCUUUCUUUUUUUUUCCUUUUGUUGCAUUUUUAAGGAUGCUUGUGAAUUUUCCAUUGGCGAGGGAAGACAGUACCUUCUGGUUCCUUAAGAUACAUGCAGUCCUCUUCUACUAAUAAGGAGUGAGCUCUGAUUCUUUAUGUUAGGAAAAGAAAGAAAGUUCUGCAAAAUUAUCCAACCACUGUAAAUGAAACAAAAAACUGUACAAGAAACAAACUGCUGCAAAUUCUAAAGGUAGAGCACACCGAAACAAGAUUCAAUAUAGGAUGUUCCUAGCCAAAACAAGAUCAACAAAAGGAUGUUCCUACCCAACCUUGUAAAGGGCAAACUACUGUGAAAGAAAUGAAUUAAUGUAAAAUUAUAAAGGUACUGCCCCCCAAAACAAGAUCCAAGAUAGGAUGUUCCUACCCAACCUUGUACUAGCCUAAAGGACAAACUAGUAAAAGAAACAAACUAGUGUAUACAUGGGAACUACCAGAUCUGCAAACAAACAAAUAAGUAAAAGUAGUAACAAAAGCAAACAAGGAAACACUUUAAUCACAACCCCGAGGAUGCUUAACUAGGGAGGAAAACAUUGUACCUGGUUUUACGGAGGGAGAUGGGAAAUGGAUGGCAGCUAUAAGGGGAAGAUUGUGGAUGGUGGUGAGAAGGUGAAGAUUUGGGAUGGCAGUGAGGAGGAGGUGAAGAUUUGGGAUAGGGGUGAGGAGGUGAAGGGACGGGGUAUUUGGCCAAUUGGGUGGAUGGCCCUGUCACAUUACCAAUAUACCCUUCUACUAUGGUUGGUGGAUGAAAUGGGAUGUUGUUGGGAAGGGUGGGAGGAAAAUUGGCAUUUCACAUUGGUCACAUGGCUUGGCUCGGGCAUCCGAAUAUUUGAAAAGUGCGCCGGAAAGAUUUUGGGGCUGGUCCACGCCAGGUAAUGGCCAUCAAAGGAUGUUCCGCUUAGUAGAAAAUGCUGGACAAAAAUCUAAAUAGUGGAAUGUCUAGUAGUCUAUUCAUAGAUGUUUCUUAUUCUUGGUACAAUCAAUGUAACCUGUACCAAAAAUUUAUUUGUAGAACUAGGAGAAUCUGCACCCAAAUUCAAUAAAUUAUCAUUCGAAAUCUUUGUUAUAUCAUGAGAACACCCUCAAAAAGUUGGAUAUUCCAUUAUUUGGUACCACUCCCUCCGUUUAUGUACUGCUCCACUUAUUUUGAAGUGUAGUAAUGGGGACAGUGUCAUAUCAUAUCACGUCUUAUAGACAAUUAGGGAGGGCGUAUUUAGGAUGGAGAACUACUAUAUGUAUUAAGAUUUACAUUGGGAAACCAAAGAAACCUCUCUCAUCUAUUCGGUGUGCUUACUACGAUUGGAAAUCCUUGUACCAUCCCGGUAAUAUUGGAAAUCCUUGUACCAUGCCUUCCAUUGGAUGUGUUUACUACUUAAUCAUGUGCACAUUGGAAAUAAAACAACUUUCCCUUUGGUUGCAUGUGCUUACUUACUUGUUAACAAUGGAAACCAAAGAAAUCUCCUUUUGAUUGGGUGUGCUUACUACUUAUUCAUGUGCACAUUGGCAAUCAAACAUCAUUUUUCCCGAUUGGAUUUGCUAACUACUCAAUCGUGCGCACAUUGGAGAUCAAAGAUCCCUCCCUUCAGUUGCAUGUGCUUACUU